Molecule: long non-coding RNA, 594 nt
Filed under: Populus tremula
Lineage: Eukaryota; Viridiplantae; Streptophyta; Magnoliopsida; Malpighiales; Salicaceae
Description: long non-coding RNA (PTRE_LNC001883)
Source: RNAcentral
GAUCAUAGAAUACUUUCGAAAGAGUAAAGCCUGUCAUUUUAUCCCAUAAUCAAAUGUUGGAGUUACAUUUAUGAAACUCGAUCCGUACCAGCAGGUCAAUCUAUGAUGUGGAUCUCGAGUCGAACAGAUCUAAUAAAUUCGGUGAGGAUUGAUAGAUGGUCUCUCGAGAAUGGUUCACGGACAGCAUUUCUGUAAAGUGUUGUUAAUGGGCUGGGGUUUAUUAAGUCUUACUUUACUGUGUAGAUGUUUCUCUAAUCUUCUGCACUUCCAGCCCAGAUUCUUUGUUCUGGACCGGCUGCUGUCAGAGGCUAGCAGGCUAGUGUCCAGCUUUGAGAGAGAGACAAAUGCGACAGCUUCCAUAAUGGUCACCUGCUCCAGCAGUUACAGGGUUGCCUUGGCUGCACCCCUGAAAGUUAAGAAAAUGCAAGAACAUGCAAAGAUUAUGUAGAAAGUGGAAUAUUGUGAUGAGAAAUCAACCCAACUUCUAUGUCGUCAUAUUAUUUGCCCAUGAGAUAUCAACCCCAUGUUUUACACCAUGUCUUUCAUGUGAUAUUUCACCAUUCAUUUAAUUUCCUCCAUGCCUCUCCAAAAAAA